UACGUAGGGCGCAAGCGUUAUCCGGAAUUAUUGGGCGUAAAGAGCUCGUAGGCGGUUCGUCGCGUCGGCUGUGAAAACCCGGAGCUCAACUCCGGGCCUGCAGUCGAUACGGGCGGACUUGAGUGUUGCAGGGGAGACUGGAAUUCCUGGUGUAGCGGUGAAAUGCGCAGAUAUCAGGAGGAACACCGGUGGCGAAGGCGGUUCUCUGGGCAUUACCUGACGCUGAGGAGCGAAAGUGUGGGGAGCGAACAGG
This 253-nucleotide ribosomal RNA is filed under the name uncultured bacterium. RNAcentral's name for it is "partial 16S ribosomal RNA". It matches the Rfam family "Bacterial small subunit ribosomal RNA", at positions 524 to 776 of the family's 1533-position model. The record is from RNAcentral.